Argentina anserina (silverweed cinquefoil) is the source of this 3247-nucleotide long non-coding RNA. RefSeq lists it as uncharacterized. The record is from RefSeq and is a predicted model, not a curated record. The transcript has 6 exons. Lineage: Eukaryota; Viridiplantae; Streptophyta; Magnoliopsida; Rosales; Rosaceae.
UUCACUCUGAAAUUUCAGAGUGAAGCUUCACUCUGGAUAGAGACUGCUCUAUGGAUUAGGGAAUCAGAUGUAGUGUUUUAUAUCAAGAGCUAAUAUUUGUAUUUUAUAUGAAAAGUAGAAUGUUAUGACUUAUUAUUGAUGCCCUGUUAGUAAUGUUAUAACUUUCUAUAAAGGGUCCAUUUUCUUUGAUAAUGUUAUGUCUCCACCAUUACUUAGAGUGUGCAUUCUGUAGUAUUUUUUAUACCAGGCGAACUUAUUGUAAUCCUCCUAUUUUACCGAAGCAAGAAUAUAUUGUUGUUCAAGACAAACAAGUUGUGGCAUGAUGCCUCAUGAAUUGAUCUUAAACUUUCUAGUUAUAUAGAAAAAUACUCUGUUCACAAUUUAGUAGUCUAAUAAAUACACUAUAGGCCUGAGAAUAAAAGAGUAUGGCCAGUGAGGCAGUGACAGAUUAUUUGUACAUUGCCAAAUAUCUCAGCUUUAUUCCCAUUCGUCAAUGGUCAUGAGUGUGAAUCAUGUUUUUCUUUGUUGGAUAAUUGCUCUUAUUUAAAUACAGUAAUGUAAUUUAUAUUCUAUUAAUAAAUUACAUCGUAUUGUAGUACCCAACUUUUGCUCUUAAAGCUUCUGGGAAUGUUAGUUUUUGAUCCUGUCAACACUCUUUGAAUACCUGGUGGCUGUUGAUAUUGAUUUAAGAAUAUAAUUUAUUCUUCAGUUCUAAUAUUUCCUCCCAUCUCUCCAGUCCUCUUUAAAUAGCUAUAUGUAUGACACCAAUUAUUUAUAACACAGUCCUGAACUGUUGUGAAUGUAUUAGUUGAAUUCGGAGUCGAUAACUAUGUAUGGUUUAUACAGACUAAAUUCACCGUAAUAGUAUUUCGCAUUGCAUCAUGGCUCUAGUUGUUGGACGAACAGGAUCACUGUUCUUUGUCAGUGUGAUAUCGGCUUGGUAGUGAAUUCAAUUUAGUUAGAUUACUGUCCAUCUUGAUUGUCGUGUACUUUUUCUUCUAGUUCUUGCACUCUUUGAUCAGGUCCUGUAAUACUGUAAAUUUUGCUGUGAACAUGUUAUAAGUUUAAUGGAAAUUUGAGAAACUCUGGAAGGACUUUCAACAGCAUUGUGAAGUCUGUCUCCCAGCUCCAAUUUUUGCCCAUCACUUCUCAUCAUAUUUAGAUUCAUAGUCAAGGUUUAAUUUGGAGCAAUUGUAAAUGCACUGUUUAAUGCAUCCUUGAUUAUUUUUGUAAUAUGUAAGAUUGAGGUUGUGAAACAUGAAACUGAAUCUACAUUUUGUUGUUGUCUCACUUACAGAUUGAGGCAGCCUUGUGUGGAUUAUCUUGAAAUUUGGUGGCCGGGGUGACAUUGUUGCACAGCAGGAAAUGGAAAGGAGUCGUUCUCCACCAAUAAUAGUUCACAAAUCACAAUUUAACACAUGGAGGGGGCCAUUUUCCAAUUUGGAUUGUUAAGGUGCUGACUCAGAGUCAAUUCAGGUGUACAGUGUCUCUGUGCUGCCUGCUAGCAGUUGCUGAUGGCUGGUGAAGAGGCUCGUGGCUGUUGUUCAUUGAAGACAACACUUGCCAUCUCAUGUUGAAGUGCAAUUGAGCAAACAGUGAACAAACAUUAUGACACGAUUAGACAAGAGUUGGAAUGGAGUGGAUAUGAUUUCUUGUGAAGCAAGAUGUUCCAUUGCGGCAUAUGGAUCCUACUUUUACCAGAGAUUCAUGAGCAAGCAAGGUGCUGGGGUAACAAUAUAACCGGAACCAGGUUUGACCCCAAGAAUGAAAUAUGUAUAGUUCUCUGUUUAGAAAAGUCAAUCUUACGGUGGUCUCUCUCUCUCCUCUUUUCUUUUGAUAAGAGUCUCCUAAUCAAAUGGAAAACAUUGACUUGAUAUAAAUCUCUUGUCAUGGGUCAAGCACAGCUGGUUGAGUUGAAAUUUUGUGGGGCACUGAAGCGCUGCCCCUGUAACCAACAAUCUCCACCUUCCAAGUGAAUUAUGCAGCAGACGAAAGACAACAACUGCUAGAAAAAAGUUACCUCCAACAGCUUUCAUAUAAUUUGCUCUAUUUAUUUGUGUUGAAUAACAUAAUGAUAUUGAUGUAGUUCAUCCUGUUGUCAACCUAAUGAUUGAUGCCUCCUUAAUCUUCAGAAUUAGGGUUAAAGCUAGCAUGGACAAUGUGUAUUCUUGUUUUAUGUACAGUAAUACAUUCAACAAGGCAACUCCAUGUUAGCAAUUGGCAAAACUAAGAGAUUAGUAGAAGACAUGUAAAUUUUUGGUCCCCAUCAGAUAAGGAAUGAGAGAUAAGGUGGUCCACCUUUCAACCCUACCUUCACAUAAAAUUUCUGAAGCUAACCCUACCUUCGCAUAAAACUUUCUAAAGCAAUAAUCCUAAAACACCCCACAACUGAAAUUUAUGCAAAACUUUUUGUUCUUAUGUUAGGGGAAAUUUGUAGAGGAAUGGUCCUUUUUUGUGUCUGUUAAGGACAUUAAGGCUAAUGUUUAGUGCAUCGAACAGUUUUGAGUCUCUUUAGUCCUUUUAGCAGUUUGAGUAUGUCAAUGGCACUCCUCGACUCGAUGGGAAUCAAAUAGAAAGGCAUGACCCAUGAAGGUGAGUGAUGGGAUAGUGCAGAAUGAAGAUGUGAGUGAAUGCGCUGGAGAUUAUUGUUUGUUGCUCUGGUUUUGGUAGAUGAUACUAAAUCUUAUUCCUAAUAUUCAAGAGCUGAGCAGAUUGUGAGGUUAACUUUUUUUUGUGGUAGAUGCAGUUAAAGGACCACCUGGCAACCACAGGCGAUGCAAUGGUCAUUAUGUGGUCUGAUAAUGGAAGUGGCUUCAGCAAGUAUGUUUAUAAGUCAUCCAAAGUUAAUCGGUAAAGGACCACCCUAUACAACCAAGAUCAAUGCCAUGGACUAUAAACAGCUAUCUUUCUUGUUGUGAUGCUGGAAAUUGAAUUUCUUCUAUUUAUUUUGAAGUAUCUUGAUUUAUCCUUCUGUACAUGAUAAUAAAAUACCAGAGAAUCUCUGGAAUUUUGUGUUGGGGCCCUAUUAUGUAGUUAGAUAAUCAACCAAAAUCAGGAUUCACGAUUUACUUAUUUCUUUUUUACUCUAGGAUCUUUUGACGACCAUUUUGCGUGCGAUCCACUCUGAAGUUGAACAAUCUGAAAUCAGUGAAAUGUGAAUAAGAUGAAUUCCUGAACUGAACAAUAUAUUGAUAUGAAUUCCUGGCAAUUUUCACCAAGUCCAGUUCAUAAUAAGAACUUGGCCUCU